UGCUCCCCCACCCCGGGGUGCUCCCCCCGUUCCCCCCCGGGCUGGACAAGAAGGCGGCCAAGAAGAUGAAGAAGAGGAUGAAGAAGGCUCACAAGAGGCACAAGCGCUCUUCGUCCUCCUCCUCCUCCUCCUCCAGCAGCUCCGACUGAGGCUCCUGGGACCCCCCAGGACCCCGCGGCAUCACCUGGGACCACCGGGAGCCACCCGAGACCUCGUGGGACCCUUGUGACCACCCGGGACAGCCCCGGACCCCCCUCCUGUCCCCACGGCCCCGACGCCCUGCUCCCGGGGGGUGCCGGGGUGUCCCUGCUGUCCCCCAAUAAACUCUGGGACACCCCAA
Molecule: non-coding RNA, 340 nt
Organism: Lonchura striata (white-rumped munia)
Lineage: Eukaryota; Metazoa; Chordata; Aves; Passeriformes; Estrildidae
Source: RefSeq, a predicted model, not a curated record